RNAcentral lists this ribosomal RNA (468 nucleotides) under uncultured bacterium. RNAcentral's name for it is "partial 16S ribosomal RNA". It matches the Rfam family "Bacterial small subunit ribosomal RNA", at positions 28 to 507 of the family's 1533-position model. The record is from RNAcentral.
GACGAACGCUGGCGGCGUGCUUAACACAUGCAGGUCGAACGGAAAGGCCCUGCUUUUGUGGGGUGCUCGAGUGGCGAACGGGUGAGUAACACGUGAGUAACCUGCCCUUGACUUUGGGAUAACUUCAGGAAACUUGGGCUAAUACCGGAUAGGAGCUCCUGCUGCAUGGUGGGGGUUGGAAAGUUUCGGCGGUUGGGGAUGGACUCGCGGCUUAUCAGCUUGUUGGUGGGGUAGUGGCUUACCAAGGCUUUGACGGGUAGCCGGCCUGAGAGGGUGACCGGCCACAUUGGGACUGAGAUACGGCCCAGACUCCUACGGGAGGCAGCAGUGGGGAAUAGUGCACAAUGGGCGGAAGCCUGAUGCAGCAACGCCGCGUGCGGGAUGACGGCCUUCGGGUUGUAAACCGCUUUCGCCUGUGACGAAGCGUGAGUGACGGUAAUGGGUAAAGAAGCACCGGCUAACUACGUG